AUACUUACCUUGACGGGGUCAAUGGCCCAUGGCCUAGGUUGGCGACCUCCAUUGCACUUUGGAGGGGUGCCUGCCUAAGGUCGACCCAAGUGGUCUAGCCUACGUCAUAAUUUGUGGCAGCGGGGGCCUGCGUUUGCACGGCCCCUAC
Capsicum annuum is the source of this 148-nucleotide non-coding RNA. The record is from Rfam. NCBI's taxonomy places the organism in Eukaryota, Viridiplantae, Streptophyta, Magnoliopsida, Solanales, Solanaceae.